RNAcentral lists this ribosomal RNA (483 nucleotides) under uncultured bacterium. Its description in RNAcentral is "partial 16S ribosomal RNA". It matches the Rfam family "Bacterial small subunit ribosomal RNA", at positions 30 to 507 of the family's 1533-position model. The record is from RNAcentral.
UUGAACGCUGGCGGAAUGCUUUACACAUGCAAGUCGAGCGGCAGCACGGGGGCAACCCUGGUGGCGAGCGGCGAACGGGUGAGUAACUCAUCGGAACAUGCCCAGUCGUGGGGGAUAACACUUCGAAAGAAGUGCUAAUACCGCAUACGUCCUGAGGGAGAAAGCGGGGGAUCGCAAGACCUCGCGCGAUUGGAGUGGCCGAUGUCAGAUUAGCUAGUUGGUGGGGUAAAGGCCUACCAAGGCAACGAUCUGUAGCUGGUCUGAGAGGAUGAUCAGCCACACUGGGACUGAGACACGGCCCAGACUCCUACGGGAGGCAGCAGUGGGGAAUUUUGGACAAUGGGGGCAACCCUGAUCCAGCCAUUCCGCGUGAGUGAAGAAGGCCUUCGGGUUGUAAAGCUCUUUCGGCAGGAACGAAACGGUGAGCUCUAACAUAGCUUGCUAAUGACGGUACCUGAAGAAGAAGCACCGGCUAACUACGUG